RNAcentral lists this small RNA (89 nucleotides) under Salix viminalis (osier). The record is from RNAcentral. Lineage: Eukaryota; Viridiplantae; Streptophyta; Magnoliopsida; Malpighiales; Salicaceae.
GAGACUAUAAGGUUCUGAAAAAACUAAUGUUAGCCAAUAUUUUGAGGAGUUUCUUAUUAAAACACAGGUUGUUACAAACAUUUGGUCUU